CUUUCCUACGGGGCGCAGCAGUGAGGAAUAUUGGUCAAUGGGCGGGAGCCUGAACCAGCCAAGCCGCGUGAAGGAAGAAGGCGCCAGGCGUCGUAAACUUCUUUUGUCGGGGAACAAAGGGCGCCACGCGUGGCGUUGUGAGUGUACCCGAAGAAAAAGCAUCGGCUAACUCCGUGCCAGCAGCCGCGGUAAUACGGAGGAUGCGAGCGUUAUCCGGAUUUAUUGGGUUUAAAGGGUGCGUAGGCGGUCCGGAAAGUCAGCGGUCAAAUCGCGGGGCUCAACCCCGCCCAGCCGUCGGAACUGCC
Molecule: ribosomal RNA, 305 nt
Filed under: uncultured bacterium
Lineage: Bacteria
Description: bacterial SSU rRNA
Rfam family: Bacterial small subunit ribosomal RNA
Source: RNAcentral